UCUGAAUCUGCGUACGGCUCCGCAAACCAGUUGUAAACUAUAGCAAGCAUGCUCGGGAUUUGGCCCUCACGGGUUGGGUUUCGGGUGAUAAGGAUAACCCUGGUAAUUCUGAGGCUAAUACUAGAACGCAAAAACUUGACUGACCGGUUUUACUGGGAGGUUGGGGGGCGUGCAAGUGGGUUUCGCAUAGGAUAACCGGGAAGGGGUGCACGUUUGGACCGCGAUAAAGACAGACUGGUUUCGGCCGGCCUGAGCGGCACUUGCGUUGUGCUUCUGACCUAUCAACUAGAUGGCAGCGUAACGGACAUGCUAUGGC
Molecule: ribosomal RNA, 316 nt
Filed under: Diderma alpinum
Lineage: Eukaryota; Evosea; Eumycetozoa; Physariida; Didymiaceae
Description: bacterial SSU rRNA
Rfam family: Eukaryotic small subunit ribosomal RNA
Source: RNAcentral